GAAAUGCGAUAAGUAAUGUGAAUUGCAGAAUUCAGUGAAUCAUCGAAUCUUUGAACGCACAUUGCGCUCGCCAGUAUUCUGGCGAGCAUGCCUGUUCGAGCGUCAUUUCAACCAUCAAGCUCUGCUUGCGUUGGGGAUCCGCGGCUGCCCGCGGUCCCUCAAAAACAGUGGCGGGCUCGCUAGUCACACCGAGCGUAGUAACUCUACAUCGCUAUGGUCGUGCGACGGGUUCUUGCCGUAAAACCCCCAAUUUCUAAGGUUGACCUCGGAUCAGGUAGGAAUACCCGCUGAACUUAAGC
This 299-nucleotide unclassified non-coding RNA is filed under the name plant metagenome. RNAcentral describes it as "partial contains 5.8S ribosomal RNA, internal transcribed spacer 2, and large subunit ribosomal RNA". The stretch from base 1 to 105 matches the Rfam family "5.8S ribosomal RNA", at positions 50 to 154 of the family's 154-position model. The record is from RNAcentral.